RNAcentral lists this long non-coding RNA (784 nucleotides) under Trifolium pratense (red clover). Its description in RNAcentral is "long non-coding RNA (TPRA_LNC005751)". Lineage: Eukaryota; Viridiplantae; Streptophyta; Magnoliopsida; Fabales; Fabaceae. The record is from RNAcentral.
CGUUUUAUUAUGAACAAUGUUGGAAGGGUUUUUGUGCUUCAAAUCAAAAGAAAAAAAACACAUCAAAAAUCCAAUGGCAAAGCCAUUUGUGAACCUGUUAUACGAUAGAACUCUGCACAAGUGAGCGAACUAUUGAAAAUUUGAAAAGAAUACUAUUUAGGUGCUAUAGAACUAUACACUCUAAUGGUAAAUAAAAGUGCUGCACGAUACACAACGUACAUAAUUUGUGCAUGCAGACGCAACAUGUAUUUAGGGAUGAUAUUUUUUUCAAAAGGAAACUUAAAAUUAAGGACGGAAUGGAGUAUGUGCCAAGAAGAAAAAAAAAAUCAUAGAAAGUUACAAACUCAAACAACUUGAAAAUUUGGGUCACCAAAGUUUCUCUUAUAUUUAGGACCGGAGAAAAUCUUAUCUAAACCAAACUGACAUCCUACAAGAAAACGUUGCAGCAUAGUUGUACGUCUAACUUCAAUAAUGUGGCUAAACUUUCAAAGGUUAUAAACCACAAUAACAGACUCAUGCGAUGAGAAACUCUACAAGGAAAUGUAAGUACCCAGAAAGAUGUCCUGCAGUACAAUCAAUAAGUUACAAUGAACUUGAAAACAAUUACUGCAGCCACCAUUCAGGAGUUCUCGUCACAGUAGGGUCAUUAGAAAUCCCACCUUCGAUCCCUGCUCAUACUUAAAUCCGUGCAGCUGCACUUGCCAAGCAUAGAAUUAGAGUAACCAAUAAUCAAUGACUGAAAUGACCCCCUUCAAAAUCUACCAGUGUCCCAACCAGUUUUGCA